GAUGAAGAACGUUAGCGAAAUGCGAUAAGUAAUGUGAAUUGCAGAAUUCAGUGAAUCAUCGAAUCUUUGAACGCACCUUGCGCCCCUUGGUUAUUCCAAAGGGCAUGCCUGUUUGAGUAUCAUGAACACCUCAACUCUUGUGGUUUCCCACAAUGAGCUUGGACUGUGGAGGGUUUGUUGGCCCUGUGGUCAGCUCCUCUCAAAUGGAUCAGCUUACCGGUGUUUGGUGGCAUUACGGGUGUGAUAACUAUCUACGCUCGUGGUCGUCUCCAAAUAACCUCCAGUGAUGGAGGUUCGCUGGAGCUUAUAAAUGUCUCUCCCCAGUGAAGACAGCCUUUGAACGUUCGAUCUCAAAUCAGGUAGGACUACCCGCUGAACUUAAGCAUAUCAAUAAGCGGAGGA
Molecule: unclassified non-coding RNA, 402 nt
Filed under: soil metagenome
Description: partial contains 5.8S ribosomal RNA, internal transcribed spacer 2, and large subunit ribosomal RNA
Rfam family: 5.8S ribosomal RNA (bases 1-122)
Source: RNAcentral